Molecule: long non-coding RNA, 385 nt
Organism: Raphanus sativus (radish)
Lineage: Eukaryota; Viridiplantae; Streptophyta; Magnoliopsida; Brassicales; Brassicaceae
Exons: 4
Source: RefSeq, a predicted model, not a curated record
GCGACUGAGCUUUAUGAGGAGAUGACAGUUCUCCUCGCUGUGCAUCUUGUCAAAGCGAUCCCUUCUUGACCGGUGGAUUUAGGGUCUUAUGUGCGUAGAUUUAGUGUUUCUUGCGGCAGCUCUACAGAGCUAAAGAAGGAGCUAGGGUUUGAGAGUCCGGUUAUACGGAACAGGCAUCGGGGCCGCGGGACUACCUCCGAAGGAAGUACCAAUUUUGUGAUACUUGCUGUCUUGACUCUGGUUCUCAAAGGCACUUGGCGUUUCAUCAGGUAGUCUUGACUUUACUAGUAGUCGUAUGGGGACUUCGUCUUGGAAUGUUCCUCCUUAUGAGGAUCCUGAAGUGGGGUGAAGAUCCACGCUUUGAUGAAAAGCGUGAAAAUAUGGG